This 278-nucleotide long non-coding RNA is filed under the name Solanum tuberosum (potato). RNAcentral describes it as "long non-coding RNA (STUB_LNC005052)". The record is from RNAcentral. Lineage: Eukaryota; Viridiplantae; Streptophyta; Magnoliopsida; Solanales; Solanaceae.
GUUUCCAAAUCUUUUAUUCUGGGAUGUUUAUUUUCAGCCAACUGCUCUCCCUACCUUCAUAUUAAAAAAUUCCAACAAAAAGGGAUCUUUUGUUCUGGGAUGCUUACAUGUGUAUCAAUUUUUUCUUUCUCUGAAUUUUUUUAAAAGGUCAAAAGAAAAAGAAAGAAAAUAAACAAACAACAGCUGCUGGCAAAAGAAAACAAAAGAAACGUAACAUGGGCUUAAAAAAGCAAAGCCCAGUAUUUAAGUGGAGAAGGGUAGAGAGGCCCAUUAUCCAC